CUGCUCUGCUGGUGUUUUGUGAGUGAGCCCAGGAUAGGGAGACAAUUACUGAGAAUCUUACGAAGAUUUUGACAGCUUCAUUUCUUAUCAGGAUUCUGACCCUGGCCAGUCUGAAUAUUUGCCUUAUUCCAGGUUACUAGCUUUUGUCUAAUGAAUUUGGGAAGAAAAAAAAAGAAAGAAGCUACUGAUACAGUUCUUUUUAAUCCGAUCUACUA
This is a long non-coding RNA of Lagopus muta (rock ptarmigan), 215 nucleotides long. RefSeq lists it as uncharacterized. The transcript has 3 exons. NCBI's taxonomy places the organism in Eukaryota, Metazoa, Chordata, Aves, Galliformes, Phasianidae. The record is from RefSeq and is a predicted model, not a curated record.